This 264-nucleotide unclassified non-coding RNA is filed under the name Hevea brasiliensis (rubber tree). Lineage: Eukaryota; Viridiplantae; Streptophyta; Magnoliopsida; Malpighiales; Euphorbiaceae. The record is from RNAcentral.
UGGUAGUUUGACUGUUGCAUUGCCAUUAUGUAUGGGUCGGGGUAUCGUUGGGGAUUGAAACCAGAAUUGUGGGGUUCAUCACCUGGCCUAUCCCAAGAUCUGCUGUGGCUGAACAUGCGCAUCAUGUCAUUGCUCUUGGGACCAGGGAAGAAAUCAUAAGGUGUCUGCUGUGCACAAAACUCAGUUAGAGGGAGCUGGACCUGGAUACUUGAGACUGCUUCUCCCACAGUGGUCAUGUGAGGUGAUCCAUUUAAGCCAUAAUCA